Molecule: transfer RNA, 85 nt
Filed under: Felis catus (domestic cat)
Lineage: Eukaryota; Metazoa; Chordata; Mammalia; Carnivora; Felidae
Rfam family: tRNA
About the family: Transfer RNA (tRNA) molecules are approximately 80 nucleotides in length. Their secondary structure includes four short double-helical elements and three loops (D, anti-codon, and T loops). Further hydrogen bonds mediate the characteristic L-shaped molecular structure. tRNAs have two regions of fundamental functional importance: the anti-codon, which is responsible for specific mRNA codon recognition, and the 3' end, to which the tRNAs corresponding amino acid is attached (by aminoacyl-tRNA synthetases). tRNAs cope with the degeneracy of the genetic code in two manners: having more than one tRNA (with a specific anti-codon) for a particular amino acid; and 'wobble' base-pairing, i.e. permitting non-standard base-pairing at the 3rd anti-codon position.
Source: Rfam by way of RNAcentral
GCCUGGGUGGCUCAGUUGGUUAAGCAUCUGAUUUCAGCUCAGGUCAUGAUCUCACAGUUUGUGGGUUCAAGCCCUGCAUCGGGCC